Molecule: ribosomal RNA, 192 nt
Filed under: uncultured Gammaproteobacteria bacterium
Lineage: Bacteria; Pseudomonadati; Pseudomonadota; Gammaproteobacteria
Description: partial 16S ribosomal RNA
Rfam family: Bacterial small subunit ribosomal RNA
Source: RNAcentral
UACGGGAGGCAGCAGUGGGGAAUAUUGGACAACGGGCGCAAGCCUGAUCCAGCAAUGCCGCGUGUGUGAAGAAGGCCCGAGGGUUGUAAAGCACUUUCAAUCGUGAAGAAGGGCAUAAAGUUAAUGGCUUUGUGCAUUGACGUUAACGAUAGAAGAAGCACCGGCUAACUCUGUGCCAGCGACCGCGGUAAU